GCAGGUGCGAAUGGAUUUUGGCCAAUCCUCUCCUCGCGCGCGGCGUGCUUCCAGUCGUGGAACCCUAGACCCCUUUCCCCAAUCCCACGGCCGCCUCCAUUCUCCCGUGCUCCACCCCGAGCGGGCUCCGUCGCCUCCUCCUCCUCCUCCUUCACCAUCCCUUCCCCUGUCACAGCUGCAUUGGGGAGGUUGGGUUUUCUCGCUGGGGGGGAGGAGCUGGGGACGGCCAGGAGGCCAGUGGCGGGAGGCAGCCAAGCCGGCCUGCCGUCUCUCCCCCGGAUCUGGUCAGCGGCCGAAUUUCUAGCUGGGAUGAGGAGUUUGUCCUCCUGCGGCGCUCGUCAUCAAUGACAGCCUGGUCUGCAAGUCGCGGCCCUCCUAUGUCGGGCUACACGAUGGGUCUUACCGAACAGCGCUGGCCAGCAGUAGGUAUUUGCAGGUGCUAAUCUUCGGUUUACCACUUGUCGCUUUGGUCUGACAGGGUGCUAGCAGCUGCAGUUCUGUUCAUUUGGAGGACACAUAUGGCAAACUGUGACAUCAUGGUGUUUAUCUAACGACCUUAUAUUCCGGGCCAGUUGAUUCCUUUUUUAGCCAAGGCCAUAUUUAUAUCACAUUUCUAUACUUAUGCAUCAGAUUUUCUCCUAUUAGUUAUGCAAUUGAGGCCUUUUUAUUUCUUCAGUAUCACUAUGAGUAUCAUGAUAGAGAGUUAAUAGUUCACUCACUGGACACAAUAUUUAGUUGGCAUAUUGAGGGGCUCACACCCUUUUAUGGAUGGACUUAUACCAUGAACCUUUGAACAGAUAGCAGUUGCUCCGAGUGAUUGUUCCCAAUUAUUCUACAUUUUAAUUGUAUCGGUUGGGCAACAGCGAGUGCCGGUGAGUGCAAGCAUGUGUUUCCAGAAGCGUCCUCUCCUACAAGGUAGGCAAGGACGACGUCAUCGCCCUCGCAGGUUCUACGAUCUGUUGCAUCUUUGUUCUUCUCGUUAAGGAGAGGGGAGGUGGCCAAUGACAGGGAGAAGGAGCAGGCCGUCGAGGAGUGCAAGCAGAAGGGUUGGUCGGAUCUGUUGUAUGAGGUAGGCUUCAGGCCAACGGAAGAUGAUUUAUCGGAUGACUGCCGCCACAGGUCUUCGGGGUUCCGUGUGCACCUGUGACAUUUUGUAUAAAUUUGGAGGCCACACGUGACAAUUGCUAUAUCUAUUGUGUUCUGUCACCGUUUUUACCUUCGUCAAUCUCAUGCAACAAAUGAUAGACGAACAAUCGCUACUGUUUGCAUGUUCCUGGCUGGAAAAGUCGAAGAAACACCUAGGCCUUUGAAGGAUGUCAUCCUGGUUUCUUACGAGCUUAUUUAAAAAGGAUCCUGCUGCUUGUCAGAAAAUCAAGCAGAGGGUAAUGUAAUGGAUCCAAUUGGAUGCUUCUUUUGCUCUUUGGUGAACCUUUUUCCCUUUACAAAAGUUGUAGCAUGUUCAUGACCUGAUUUCACCCUAUAAAUCUUGUUGUUCUUAUACAAUAACAGAAAAUAACUUCGCCAAUAUAGCCAGUAGAAGGCUGGCUAUUUCUAUCAGAAUCCUAACCUUUUCUCA
Triticum dicoccoides is the source of this 1576-nucleotide long non-coding RNA. RefSeq lists it as uncharacterized. The transcript has 9 exons. The record is from RefSeq and is a predicted model, not a curated record. Lineage: Eukaryota; Viridiplantae; Streptophyta; Magnoliopsida; Poales; Poaceae.